RNAcentral lists this transfer RNA (78 nucleotides) under Mycobacteroides abscessus. RNAcentral describes it as "tRNA-Thr(tgt)". It matches the Rfam family "tRNA". From Rfam's summary of the family: Transfer RNA (tRNA) molecules are approximately 80 nucleotides in length. RNAcentral also lists the same sequence under 3 other names. The record is from RNAcentral. Lineage: Bacteria; Bacillati; Actinomycetota; Actinomycetes; Mycobacteriales; Mycobacteriaceae.
GCCCUGAUAGCUCAGUCCGGCCAGAGCGGCUGCCUUGUAAGCAGUGUCCGUCGCCGGUUCGAAUCCGGCUUGGGGCUC